CCUCCUGCUUGUGGGGGGGUCUACUACCCCCAUUUUAUAGACAGGGAAUGAAGGUGAUGAAGUGACCUCUCCAAAGUCACACCUGGAAAUGCGGAGGAGAUCUGGGAACUGGACUGGGUUUUACAGGAGUGCCCUCCCCAUAGAGGCAGCUUCACUUUCUGCCCUUCGUUCUCUCCUCCCCUCGUGGCCCGUCUUCGAUGGGGAUCUCUGAACUGGAAAUGAGCAGGGGCUUCCUCCCCCUCUGUCUUCCAAUGUCUGGGAUCUGUCCACAGCAACGCAGCCUGCAGCUGGCCCAGCUUGGGGAGCCAUCGCCUCACCCUGUGAAAUCCAGACGUGCUGGCUUUCAGUGAUGCUUCGACGGAAAACCACGCACCCCACACAGAGGAUUCCAGCCGGCUGUUCCAAUCCAGGAUGAAAACUCUGCCACUGAAAUCUCACAGCACCUGUGCAGUGAAGUGCCACUUAAACCCGCUGUGAUGCACAGAGCUUGCCCUGGCUGUCCGCACAGGACUGAAUUUCACCCCUUCAGAGUGUAUUCGAAGGGCACCCCAUGCUUCAUAUGGGCAUUCUUGGGUGGGCAGAUUGCAUCAGACCUGCUCCCGAAUAAAUAAUAGUGAAUGAAAUAUGCAGACACUAAAGUUCUGCAGCCAAAUUCUCAGAAACCUUCCUCUUGAAUGUAGGAUCAGGAUUUUGUUUCUAAUUGAUUUUUUUAAAAAGUGCUAAGCAGAUACUACACUGUAAUAAGAGGAAACAGAAGCAAAAACUGAAAGGAUGUUACUUAAACCAAUGAACAGAUGCAGAGAGUGGAAGCACGGCAAAGCACACCAAUGAAUACUAUGAGUAAAUAACCUGAAAGCAAAUAGGGAAGAAAACCUCAUCUGGGUAAUUGUGGCUCUU
Non-coding RNA from Chrysemys picta bellii (western painted turtle), 897 nucleotides. NCBI's taxonomy places the organism in Eukaryota, Metazoa, Chordata, Testudines, Emydidae. The record is from RefSeq and is a predicted model, not a curated record.